Molecule: ribosomal RNA, 253 nt
Filed under: uncultured bacterium
Lineage: Bacteria
Description: partial 16S ribosomal RNA
Rfam family: Bacterial small subunit ribosomal RNA
Source: RNAcentral
UACGUAGGGUGCGAGCGUUAAUCGGAAUUACUGGGCGUAAAGCGUGCGCAGGCGGUUGGCCGUGUCCGAUGUGAAAGCCCCGGGCUUAACCUGGGAAUGGCAUUGGAAACUGGCUGGCUGGAGUGUGGCAGAGGGGGGUGGAAUUCCGCGUGUAGCAGUGAAAUGCGUAGAGAUGCGGAGGAACACCGAUGGCGAAGGCAGCCCCCUGGGCUGACACUGACGCUCAGGCACGAAAGCGUGGGGAGCAAACAGG